Long non-coding RNA from Melitaea cinxia (Glanville fritillary), 584 nucleotides. RefSeq lists it as uncharacterized. The record is from RefSeq and is a predicted model, not a curated record. The transcript has 2 exons. NCBI's taxonomy places the organism in Eukaryota, Metazoa, Arthropoda, Insecta, Lepidoptera, Nymphalidae.
UCUGAUGAGGCCUAUUCCCAUAUAAAUGGGUUCGUAAACCGUCAAAAUUCAAAGUUCUCGUUACUGGGACAGUGAGAAUUUCACACUCAAACGCCAAAACCACUGCUUAGUCCUAAAUUGACAGUAUAGGCUGCAAACUUAAAAUCGGAAAAAUGAUUGAUCAUUUUUUCUUUGAACAUGCGCAGUACAACAUCAUUGUUAAUACCGAACGCUAAGUUGCGUUGUUGGAACGUUUUUUUGGCUCUAGAAUUUUAAAUUACAAGAAUAGUGAAUUCUAGCUAGUGCUACUAUGGAGUCAUUUGACGUGUGACUGACGUUCCCAGGUACACUGAUUUCGAAAAGAGGUGAUAUCCCAUGUAUAUAUCCCCUCGUAGUCCAAAUUUGACGCAGCCUGACUUUUUUUGGGGAUACCUCAAGUCUACAGUAAUAACCCGAAAAACAUCGAUCAGCUGAAAGAGGAUAUCCUCUUUGAGUCCGUUGUGAAAUGGUAGUAAUUACACAAGCAUUACUAAGGAAAGUUCCGUCGUAAAGAAUGUCAUCAUUUAGAUGAUGUUACUUAAAAAAAAAUUGUUAUUACUUUACAA